GCGGCACGCUUCAUACAUGCAAGUCGAGGGGCAGCAUAAAGUACUUGUACUUUGAUGGCGACCGGCGAACGGGUGCGUAACGCGUAUGCAACUUACCUUUUACUAGAGAAUAGCCAAGAGAAAUUUUGAUUAAUGCUCUAUACACUUAUUAAUUCUCAUGAAUCUAUAAGAAAAGCUCCGGCGGUAAAAGAUGGGCAUGCGUCCUAUUAGCUUGUAGGUGAGGUAACGGCUCACCUAAGCUCCGAUAGGUAGGGGUCCUGAGAGGGAGAUCCCCCACACUGGUACUGAGACACGGACCAGACUUCUACGGAAGGCAGCAGUAAGGAAUAUUGGACAAUGGAGGCAACUCUGAUCCAGCGAUGCCGCGUGAAGGAAGACGGCCCUAUGGGUUGUAAACUUCUUUUAUACAGGAAGAAACCUUUCCACGUGUGGAAAGCUGACGGUACUGUAAGAAUAAGGAUCGGCUAACUCCGUGCCAGCAGCCGCGGUAAUACGGAGGAUCCAAGCGUUAUCCGGAAUUAUUGGGUUUAAAGGGUCCGCAGGCUGUUUGUUAAGUCAGGGGUGAAAUCCUACCGCUCAACGGUAGAACUGCCUUUGAUACUGGCAAACUUGAGUUAUUGUGAAGUAGUUAGAAUGUGUAGUGUAGCGGUGAAAUGCAUAGAUAUUACACAGAAUACCGAUUGCGAAAGCAGAUUACUAACAAUAUACUGACGCUGAGGGACGAAAGCGUGGGUAGCGAACAGGAUUAGAUACCCUGGUAGUCCACGCCGUAAACGAUGGUCACUAGCUGUUCGAUGUACAUUGGUACAUUGAGUGGCUAAGCGAAAGUGAUAAGUGACCCACCUGGGGAGUACGCUC
This 858-nucleotide ribosomal RNA is filed under the name uncultured Flavobacteriaceae bacterium. RNAcentral describes it as "bacterial SSU rRNA". It matches the Rfam family "Bacterial small subunit ribosomal RNA", at positions 39 to 887 of the family's 1533-position model. Lineage: Bacteria; Pseudomonadati; Bacteroidota; Flavobacteriia; Flavobacteriales; Flavobacteriaceae. The record is from RNAcentral.